GGUCCGCACGGCUUUGGAUAAUCCUCGGAGAGAGCGAUGCGGGAGAGCUGAGAGGCGUGCUGCUGCGCGAGUCUGAGAGAAACUGUGAGAGACUGUGGGAUAAAAUGGUAAAGUUGGAGCAAAGAAUGAGAGGAGGAGGUGCAGGGUCUAUCGUCCAAUAAAAACGCUCGGCGCUAGUUUUGACCGUGUGUUUUUUCCUCACGCAAGCGUUUGUAUCACAUCGGCGUAUGGCGCCAAUUUGUAAAGGUCAUAAGUCGAGACAUACAUCGAGUCUGUCAAUUUGUCCGCCAGUAAAUUCUGCAGGGCCGUGCCACCUGGCCAUCGAGGCGCCCCCCUACCCGGCCACGCGGGUCAUACAUCGAGUCUGACACUUUUGCCCUCCAGUAAAUUCUGUUUAAAGUUUUGUUUUCACAUACGUCCCAAAUUACAGAUAAUUUUCUUACACAGGCACGAGUAGCAUCAUCAAGGCCGUACCACCUGGUCAUACAUCAAGUCUGACAAUUUCCCCGCCAGUAAAUUCUGUUUAUAGUUUUGUUUGUCAUACAUGACCCUGCAGAUAUGGGGUGACAGAGACAAUUAAAUUGUAUUGCGGCGAGCGGGGGGGCCUAUUCCUCCUAGGGCAGAGGCACAAGUAUCUUCGAGGUCUUACCCUUCCUGCCAGCCAAAGAGGUUCAUCCAGGCCUUACCCGAGAGAGAGACUGCGCUGACCGGUCAAGAGAAAAUCUACAAGAGACCUGAAUCAGCAGUGUUAUAAAGCACAUAGCCAACGCUAAUUAAUAAAGAAUUUAAGCAUAAUAGCCCAGACGUACCAUGGCCUAUAGCUGGUAGAAACGGAGCUAUCCUACGGCCUACAAGAUAAAAGCAUAUGGCACCAAAUUGGAAUCAGUAGUCUUUAAAAGAAUAAAUGGACUAGCAACUGUCUCUGGGGGAGCAGCCCCGGUUAGGUACUAUUAAGCAGCAUUUAGUGACAUGCAUCAAAACACAUUUUUUAAAACUUUGACAGAAUAAAGUCUUAGUUAUUUUAAUAAAUAUGUUUUUCAGUAAAUGUUUAUUCACGCGCAUGCGGACAAACACACACCCCGGAGGUCAAACUAAAAAAAAGUUGAUACAAACUACAGUUGUAUCGGACACGCACACAAAAACACGAGAGUUUGCUCAAUCAAAAAACACCAAACAUAUAUAGUUCACGUUUUUUAUUAAAAUGUAUAAGGAUUGUUUUCUUAUAGCGAAAUUUUAAAUUAAUAUGAGUGGGAUAUAAGUCAUUUAGGCAACAGGAUUUGAGGAAGAACCUAAAUAGCAGCUAGAAAUGACCGACCAGGCAGGCAGAAGUCUGCUUUUCUUAUCUCACAAGUCAUGGAAGGGUGGGAGGGGGGCCACAUAAGUGUAGGGUAGGAACUGUGGAAUCAGGCAGGGGUGCAAGAAUUUAGGAUAUAGUCUUGUUAUUUUAAAGAAGGUGUACAUGAUUAUUUAAUUACAUUUAAUAGGAACCAGUAAGCUGCAUUUAGCACCAUGCUGCAAAUACACAUAAAAAAAAACUUUAAAGAAUAAGGUCUUAGUUAUUUUAAUAAAGACAUCCUACAAGGUACCCACGGCCCCAGCUUAUAUAAUCUACAAGCUUGAUCUGAGAUGCUUGCUGGAGUACAAUGCUAAGUUGACAACGGUAACGGAGCUGCAUAUUGUUUGAUAGUUAUGAAACAUAGUUCAAAUUCAACAGUGUCAGCAGUCAUCCACUAUGCAGGGAGACUACAGAUUGACUAUAACGACCCCAUUUAUCUGCUGGAAUUAUUUAAAAAAAAAAAUUGACAUAAUAAAGCCUUAGUUAUUUUAAUAAA
Molecule: long non-coding RNA, 1832 nt
Organism: Brienomyrus brachyistius
Lineage: Eukaryota; Metazoa; Chordata; Actinopteri; Osteoglossiformes; Mormyridae
Exons: 2
Source: RefSeq, a predicted model, not a curated record